AAGUCGUAACAAGGUUUCCGUAGGUGAACCUGCGGAAGGAUCAUUAUCCUUUAGCUUGUGCGAGACGCUCUAUAGCUCUUGUACUCGAGCUCACAACGCUCUUAUUGCGCGGUAGCCGAUCUUCGGGUCGACUGCCAACCAAAACAAAAUCCACAGUAGGCUCACUUGCUACUGCGGUCAGGUACCUAUCAGCUGAAGCGGCUCUCUUGGGAGCCGUGUUGGCGUAAAGAUUACACCACCUCAUGUGGAGUAACGCCUGCUUAGCUUACAAGUUUUCUCACCUUUAAAUUACAUAUUCUUAGAGUUGUGAUUGUGAUAAAGUCUAAUCUAAUUAGAUGAUUUAACACAUUAACAACCCUAUGCGGUGGAUCACUUGGCUC
Molecule: unclassified non-coding RNA, 380 nt
Filed under: fungal sp.
Lineage: Eukaryota; Fungi
Description: partial internal transcribed spacer region
Rfam family: Eukaryotic small subunit ribosomal RNA (bases 1-46)
Source: RNAcentral